RNAcentral lists this ribosomal RNA (462 nucleotides) under uncultured bacterium. RNAcentral's name for it is "partial 16S ribosomal RNA". It matches the Rfam family "Bacterial small subunit ribosomal RNA", at positions 28 to 507 of the family's 1533-position model. The record is from RNAcentral.
GACGAACGCUGGCGGCGUGCUUAACACAUGGAAGUCGAACGGAAAGGCCCUUCGGGGUACUCGAGUGGCGAACGGGUGAGUAACACGUGGGUGAUCUGCCCUGCACUUUGGGAUAAGCCUGGGAAACUGGGUCUAAUACCGAAUAGGACCACGCGCUUCAUGGUGUGUGGUGGAAAGCUUUUGCGGUGUGGGAUGGGCCCGCGGCCUAUCAGCUUGUUGGUGGGGUAAUGGCCUACCAAGGCGACGACGGGUAGCCGGCCUGAGAGGGUGACCGGCCACACUGGGACUGAGAUACGGCCCAGACUCCUACGGGAGGCAGCAGUGGGGAAUAUUGCACAAUGGGCGCAAGCCUGAUGCAGCGACGCCGCGUGAGGGAUGACGGCCUUCGGGCUGUAAACCUCUUUCACCAGGGACGAAGCGUAAGUGACGGUACCUGGAGAAGAAGCACCGGCCAACUACGUG